This 439-nucleotide ribosomal RNA is filed under the name uncultured bacterium. RNAcentral describes it as "partial 16S ribosomal RNA". It matches the Rfam family "Bacterial small subunit ribosomal RNA", at positions 339 to 795 of the family's 1533-position model. The record is from RNAcentral.
CUACGGGCUGCUCCAGUGAGGAAUAUUGCACAAUGGGGGGAACCCUGAUGCGGCAACGCCGCGUGGAGGAUGACGCAUUUCGGUGUGUAAACUCCUUUUAUAUGUCAAGAAAAUGACGGUAGCAUAUGAAUAAGCACCGGCUAACUCCGUGCCAGCAGCCGCGGUAAUACGGAGGGUGCAAGCGUUACUCGGAAUCACUGGGCGUAAAGGACGCGUAGGCGGGUUGGAAAGUCAGGUGUGAAAUCCUACAGCUUAACUGUAGAACUGCACUUGAAACUUCUAAUCUAGAGUAUGGGAGGGGGAGAUGGAAUUAGUGGCGUAGGGGUAAAAUCCGUAGAUAUCACUAGGAAUACCUAAAGCGAAGGCGAUCUCCUGGAACAUUACUGACGCUAAGGCGUGAAAGCGUGGGGAGCAAACAGGAUUAGAUACCCCCGUAGUC